This 467-nucleotide ribosomal RNA is filed under the name uncultured bacterium. RNAcentral describes it as "partial 16S ribosomal RNA". It matches the Rfam family "Bacterial small subunit ribosomal RNA", at positions 28 to 507 of the family's 1533-position model. The record is from RNAcentral.
GACGAACGCUGGCGGCGUGCUUAACACAUGCAAGUCGAACGGAAAGGCCUCUUUCGGGGGGUACUCGAGUGGCGAACGGGUGAGUAACACGUGAGUAACCUGCCCUCGUCUUUGGGAUAACUUCAGGAAACUGGGGCUAAUACCGGAUAGGAGCUCCUGUGGCACGGUGGGGGGUGGAAAGUUUCGGCGGUUGGGGAUGGACUCGCGGCUUAUCAGCUUGUUGGUGGGGUAGUGGCUUACCAAGGCGUUGACGGGUAGACGGGCAGAGGGGGUGACCGGCCACAUUGGGACUUAGAUACGGCCCAGGCACCUACGGGAGGCAGCAGUGGGGAAGAAUGCACAAUGGGUGGAAGCCUGAUGCAGCAACGCCGGGUGCGGGAAGACGGUCUUAGGGUUGUAAAACGCUUUCGCUCAUGACGAAGCUUUGUGUGACGGUAGUGGGUAAAGAAGCACCGGCUAACUACGUG